This 374-nucleotide ribosomal RNA is filed under the name uncultured bacterium. RNAcentral's name for it is "bacterial SSU rRNA". It matches the Rfam family "Bacterial small subunit ribosomal RNA", at positions 527 to 898 of the family's 1533-position model. The record is from RNAcentral.
GUAGGGUGCGAGCGUUGUCCGGAAUUAUUGGGCGUAAAGGGCUCGUAGGCGGUUUGUCGCGUCGGGAGUGAAAACUCAGGGCUUAACCCUGAGCCUGCUUCCGAUACGGGCAGACUAGAGGUAUGCAGGGGAGAACGGAAUUCCUGGUGUAGCGGUGAAAUGCGCAGAUAUCAGGAGGAACACCGGUGGCGAAGGCGGUUCUCUGGGCAUUACCUGACGCUGAGGAGCGAAAGUGUGGGGAGCGAACAGGAUUAGAUACCCUGGUAGUCCACACCGUAAACGUUGGGCGCUAGGUGUGGGACUCAUUCCACGAGUUCCGUGCCGCAGCUAACGCAUUAAGCGCCCCGCCUGGGGAGUACGGCCGCAAGGCUAAA